CAAGGCGACGAUCCCUAGCUGGUCUGAGAGGAUGACCAGCCACACUGGAACUGAGACACGGUCCAGACUCCUACGGGAGGCAGCAGUGGGGAAUAUUGCACAAUGGGCGCAAGCCUGAUGCAGCCAUGCCGCGUGUAUGAAGAAGGCCUUCGGGUUGUAAAGUACUUUCAGCGGGGAGGAAGGUGUUGUGGUUAAUAACCGCAGCAAUUGACGUUACCCGCAGAAGAAGCACCGGCUAACUCCGUGCCAGCAGCCGCGGUAAUACGGAGGGUGCAAGCGUUAAUCGGAAUUACUGGG
Molecule: ribosomal RNA, 297 nt
Filed under: Salmonella enterica
Lineage: Bacteria; Pseudomonadati; Pseudomonadota; Gammaproteobacteria; Enterobacterales; Enterobacteriaceae
Also listed under: 2 other names
Description: partial 16S ribosomal RNA
Rfam family: Bacterial small subunit ribosomal RNA
Source: RNAcentral